This 835-nucleotide ribosomal RNA is filed under the name uncultured bacterium. Its description in RNAcentral is "bacterial SSU rRNA". It matches the Rfam family "Bacterial small subunit ribosomal RNA", at positions 65 to 895 of the family's 1533-position model. The record is from RNAcentral.
AGGGGCAGCACGAUGUAGCAAUACAUUGGUGGCGACCGGCGCACGGGUGAGUAACGCGUAUGCAACCUACCUAUCAGAGGGGAAUAACCCGGCGAAAGUCGGACUAAUACCGCAUAAAACAGGGGUUCCACAUGGAAAUAUUUGUUAAAGAAUUAUCGCUGAUAGAUGGGCAUGCGUUCCAUUAGAUAGUUGGUGAGGUAACGGCUCACCAAGUCCACGAUGGAUAGGGGUUCUGAGAGGAAGGUCCCCCACACUGGUACUGAGACACGGACCAGACUCCUACGGGAGGCAGCAGUGAGGAAUAUUGGUCAAUGGGCGAGAGCCAGAACCAGCCAAGUCGCGUGAAGGAUGAAGGAUCUAUGGUUUGUAAACUUCUUUUAUAUGGGAAUAAAGUGAGGAACGUGUUCCUUUUUGUAUGUACCAUAUGAAUAAGCAUCGGCUAACUCCGUGCCAGCAGCCGCGGUAAUACGGAGGAUGCGAGCGUUAUCCGGAUUUAUUGGGUUUAAAGGGUGCGUAGGUGGUUAAUUAAGUCAGCGGUGAAAGUUUGUGGCUCAACCAUAAAAUUGCCGUUGAAACUGGUUGACUUGAGUAUAUUUGAGGUAGGCGGAAUGCGUGGUGUAGCGGUGAAAUGCAUAGAUAUCACGCAGAACUCCGAUUGCGAAGGCAGCUUACUAAACUAUAACUGACACUGAAGCACGAAAGCGUGGGGAUCAAACAGGAUUAGAUACCCUGGUAGUCCACGCAGUAAACGAUGAUUACUAGCUGUUUGCGAUACACAGUAAGCGGCACAGCGAAAGCGUUAAGUAAUCCACCUGGGGAGUACGCCGGCAACGGU